RNAcentral lists this ribosomal RNA (253 nucleotides) under uncultured bacterium. RNAcentral describes it as "partial 16S ribosomal RNA". It matches the Rfam family "Bacterial small subunit ribosomal RNA", at positions 524 to 776 of the family's 1533-position model. The record is from RNAcentral.
UACAGAGGGUGCAAGCGUUGUUCGGAAUUAUUGGGCGUAAAGCGCGUGUAGGCGGUUUUGUAAGUCUGAUGUGAAAGCCCAGGGCUUAACCCUGGAAGUGCAUUGGAUACUGCAAAACUAGAGGGCGAGAGAGGAAAGUGGAAUUCAUGGUGUAGGGGUGAAAUCCGUAGAUAUCAUGAGGAACAUCUGUGGCGAAGGCGACUUUCUGGCUCGUUUCUGACGCUGAGACGCGAAAGCCAGGGGAGCAAACGGG